UACCUAUCUGGGUGAGGCAGGCCCUGGU
This 28-nucleotide small RNA is filed under the name Bombyx mori (domestic silkworm). Its description in RNAcentral is "ovarian small RNA-1864". The record is from RNAcentral. Lineage: Eukaryota; Metazoa; Arthropoda; Insecta; Lepidoptera; Bombycidae.